CUUUAAAAAUUUCAUUCAUUUCUAUUGUUAAAAAUUAAUCCAUGUACAUUAGAAUGAAGUACACAUGGCACGCCAUGUGUAAUUUUCUGAUUAUUCUAUUAGCAACAAUAGUUUUUAACAAUAGAAAUUGAUUGAAUUUUUAGUA
Non-coding RNA from Gossypium hirsutum (cotton), 145 nucleotides. The record is from Rfam. NCBI's taxonomy places the organism in Eukaryota, Viridiplantae, Streptophyta, Magnoliopsida, Malvales, Malvaceae.